RNAcentral lists this transfer RNA (73 nucleotides) under Centruroides sculpturatus (bark scorpion). RNAcentral describes it as "tRNA-Ala". It matches the Rfam family "tRNA". Rfam says of the family: Transfer RNA (tRNA) molecules are approximately 80 nucleotides in length. The record is from RNAcentral. Lineage: Eukaryota; Metazoa; Arthropoda; Arachnida; Scorpiones; Buthidae.
GGGGACGUAGCUCAGAUGGUAGAGCGCUUGCUUCGCAUGCGAGAGGUACUGAGAUCGAUACUCGGCGUCUCCA